UACAGAGGUCUCAAGCGUUGUUCGGAUUCAUUGGGCGUAAAGGGUGCGUAGGCGGCGCGGCAAGUCGGGUGUGAAAUUUCGGAGCUUAACUCCGAAACUGCAUUCGAUACUGCCGUGCUUGAGGACUGGAGAGGAGACUGGAAUUUACGGUGUAGCGGUGAAAUGCGUAGAUAUCGUAAGGAAGACCAGUGGCGAAGGCGGGUCUCUGGACAGUUCCUGACGCUGAGGCACGAAGGUCAGGGGAGCAAACGGG
This 253-nucleotide ribosomal RNA is filed under the name uncultured bacterium. Its description in RNAcentral is "partial 16S ribosomal RNA". It matches the Rfam family "Bacterial small subunit ribosomal RNA", at positions 524 to 776 of the family's 1533-position model. The record is from RNAcentral.